GCUGAUGUAGCUCAGUCGGUAGAGCACUUCCUUGGUAAGGAAGAGGUCAUCGGUUCAAGUCCGAUCAUCAGCU
Molecule: transfer RNA, 73 nt
Organism: Prosthecochloris aestuarii DSM 271
Lineage: Bacteria; Pseudomonadati; Chlorobiota; Chlorobiia; Chlorobiales; Chlorobiaceae
Rfam family: tRNA
About the family: Transfer RNA (tRNA) molecules are approximately 80 nucleotides in length. Their secondary structure includes four short double-helical elements and three loops (D, anti-codon, and T loops).
Source: Rfam